UAGGGAAUCUUCGGCAAUGGACGAAAGUCUGACCGAGCAACGCCGCGUGAGUGAAGAAGGUUUUCGGAUCGUAAAACUCUGCUGUUAGAGAAGAACAAGGACGUCAGUAACUGAACGUCCCCUGACGGUAUCUAACCAGAAAGCCACGGCUAACUACGUGCCAGCAGCCGCGGUAAUACGUAGGUGGCAAGCGUUGUCCGGAUUUAUUGGGCGUAAAGCGAGCGCAGGCGGUUUCUUAAGUCUGAUGUGAAAGCCCCCGGCUCAACCGGGGAGGGUCAGUGGAAACUGGGAGACUUGAGUGCAGAAGAGGAGAGUGAAAUUCCAUGUGGAGCGGUGAAAUGCGUAGAUAUAUGGAGGAACACCAGUGGCGAAGGCGGCUCUCUGGUCUGUAACUGACGCUGAGGCUCGAAAGCGUGGGGAGCAAACAGG
Molecule: ribosomal RNA, 429 nt
Filed under: Gemmatimonadota bacterium
Lineage: Bacteria; Pseudomonadati; Gemmatimonadota
Description: Gemmatimonadetes bacterium partial 16S ribosomal RNA
Rfam family: Bacterial small subunit ribosomal RNA
Source: RNAcentral